UCCUGCAUUUUUUUUAGUUGUAAUCUCUGUCCUGCCUUUUUUUUUCUCACUCUAUUCGGUCCUGCCUUUUUUUUAUUAGUUUAUCCUGACUUUUUUUACCUAAAUUGUCAUCCUGCCUUUUUUUUUGCAAAGUGUCUCAUCCUGCCUUUUUUUUUACUCAAAACUCCUGUCCUGCCUAUUUUUUUUCAAAUUUCAUCCUAGCCACCCCCCCCCCCCCCCUAAAA
Molecule: long non-coding RNA, 224 nt
Filed under: Mytilus galloprovincialis (Mediterranean mussel)
Lineage: Eukaryota; Metazoa; Mollusca; Bivalvia; Mytilida; Mytilidae
Source: RNAcentral